RNAcentral lists this ribosomal RNA (484 nucleotides) under uncultured bacterium. RNAcentral describes it as "partial 16S ribosomal RNA". It matches the Rfam family "Bacterial small subunit ribosomal RNA", at positions 29 to 507 of the family's 1533-position model. The record is from RNAcentral.
AUUGAACGCUGGCGGCAUGCUUUACACAUGCAAGUCGAACGGCAGCGCGGGCUUCGGCCUGGCGGCGAGUGGCGAACGGGUGAGUAAUGCAUCGGAACGUGCCCAGUAGUGGGGGAUAGCCCGGCGAAAGCCGGAUUAAUACCGCAUACGACCUGAGGGUGAAAGCGGGGGACCGAAAGGCCUCGCGCUAUUGGAGAGGCCGAUGUCGGAUUAGCUAGUUGGUGGGGCAAAGGCUUACCAGGGCGACGAUCCGUAGCUAGUCUUAGAGGACGACCAGCCAUACUGGGACAUAGACACGGCCCAGAGUCCUAAGGGAGGCAGCAGUGGGGAAUUUUGGACAAUGGGGGCAACCCUGAUCCAGCCAUGCCGCGUGCGGGAAGAAGACCUUCGGGUUGUAAACCGCUUUUGUUCGGGAAGAAAUCCUCUGGGCUAAUACCCCGGGGGGAUGACGGUACCGGAAGAAUAAGCACCGGCUAACUACGUG